RNAcentral lists this unclassified non-coding RNA (334 nucleotides) under soil metagenome. Its description in RNAcentral is "partial contains 5.8S ribosomal RNA, internal transcribed spacer 2, and large subunit ribosomal RNA". The stretch from base 1 to 120 matches the Rfam family "5.8S ribosomal RNA", at positions 35 to 154 of the family's 154-position model. The record is from RNAcentral.
GAUGAAGAACGUAGCGAAAUGCGAUAAGUAAUGUGAAUUGCAGAAUUCAGUGAAUCAUCGAAUUUUUGAACGCACAUUGCGCCCGCCAGUAUUCUGGCGGGCAUGCCUGUUCGAGCGUCAUUUCAACCAUCAAGCCCUGCUUGCGUUGGGGUCCUGCGGCUGCCCGCAGGCCCUGAAAACCAGUGGCGGGCUCGCUAGUCACACCGAGCGCAGUAAUACAUCUCGCUUUGGGCGUGCGGCGGGUUCUUGCCGUUAAACACCCCCUUUUUACCAAGGUUGACCUCGGAUCAGGUAGGAAUACCCGCUGAACUUAAGCAUAUCAAUAAGCGGAGGA